GGAGUUUGGACCGUGUCUCAGUUCCAAUGUGGGGGACCUUCCUCUCAGAACCCCUACUGAUCGUCGCCUUGGUGAGCCGUUACCUCACCAACUAGCUAAUCAGACGCGGGUCCAUCUUGUACCGAAAAUACUUUUCACACUGUACCAUGUGGUACCGUGCGCUUAUGCGGUAUUAGCAGUCGUUUCCAACUGUUGUCCCCCUGUACAAGGUAGGUUACCCACGCGUUACUCACCCGUCCGCCACUCAGUCAACAAAAGUAUUGCUACUUCCAUGUUACCGUUCGACUUGCAUGUAUUAGGCCUGCCGCCAGCGUUCAAU
Molecule: ribosomal RNA, 319 nt
Filed under: uncultured Lachnospiraceae bacterium
Lineage: Bacteria; Bacillati; Bacillota; Clostridia; Lachnospirales; Lachnospiraceae
Description: partial 16S ribosomal RNA
Source: RNAcentral